GAUACAUUUCCUAUACAGUGACUGUAAGUGAGGGGGUACAGCAAAAAACAAAACAAACAGAUUGCUAAACCUACAUGUUUCUUGUUUGCGGCUUUUGCAAGCCAUCUUUCUACAACCCAGCUUAGACUUCGUGUGUGUCCAAUCACAGACUUUCCAGCACGGCUCAAACUCUUUGCAAGUUAGGUGCUCUGGGCACUUGCCUGCCUUUUAAGUAUAGCUUCACUGAGCUAAACUACCGGGAAAUAACAAAAACAGUUGUCUGUUUGAGAGCCAGGUGGUUGUAACGUUAAUUUAUAAAAGUG
Pelobates cultripes (western spadefoot toad) is the source of this 302-nucleotide non-coding RNA. Lineage: Eukaryota; Metazoa; Chordata; Amphibia; Anura; Pelobatidae. The record is from the annotation of a GenBank genome assembly.